GCUGGUGUGGCGGAAUAGGCAGACGCAAGGGACUUAAAAUCCCUCGAUGUAACAGUCGUAUCGGUUCAAGUCCGAUCACAAGCACCA
This 87-nucleotide transfer RNA is filed under the name Clostridia bacterium. RNAcentral's name for it is "tRNA-Leu". It matches the Rfam family "tRNA". From Rfam's summary of the family: Transfer RNA (tRNA) molecules are approximately 80 nucleotides in length. Their secondary structure includes four short double-helical elements and three loops (D, anti-codon, and T loops). Lineage: Bacteria; Bacillati; Bacillota; Clostridia. The record is from RNAcentral.